RNAcentral lists this unclassified non-coding RNA (338 nucleotides) under soil metagenome. Its description in RNAcentral is "partial contains 5.8S ribosomal RNA, internal transcribed spacer 2, and large subunit ribosomal RNA". The stretch from base 1 to 120 matches the Rfam family "5.8S ribosomal RNA", at positions 35 to 154 of the family's 154-position model. The record is from RNAcentral.
GAUGAAGAACGCAGCGAAAUGCGAUAAGUAGUGUGAAUUGCAGAAUUCAGUGAAUCAUCGAAUCUUUGAACGCACAUUGCGCCCCUUGGUAUUCCAUGGGGCAUGCCUGUUCGAGCGUCAUCUACACCCUCAAGCUCUGCUUGGUGUUGGGCGUCUGUCCCGCCCCCGCGCGUGGACUCGCCCCAAACCCAUUGGCAGCGUUCCUUGCCCCCUCUCGCGCAGCACAUUGCGCUUCUCGAGGGCGGCUCCGGGACGCGAUCCAGCAAGAUGACCACCGUCUUUGACCUCGGAUCAGGUAGGGAUACCCGCUGAACUUAAGCAUAUCAAUAAGCGGAGGA